RNAcentral lists this ribosomal RNA (587 nucleotides) under Staphylococcus aureus. RNAcentral's name for it is "partial 23S ribosomal RNA". It matches the Rfam family "Bacterial large subunit ribosomal RNA", at positions 973 to 1561 of the family's 2925-position model. Lineage: Bacteria; Bacillati; Bacillota; Bacilli; Caryophanales; Staphylococcaceae. The record is from RNAcentral.
UAACUUGGGAGUCAGAACAUGGGUGAUAAGGUCCGUGUUCGAAAGGGAAACAGCCCAGACCACCAGCUAAGGUCCCAAAAUAUAUGUUAAGUGGAAAAGGAUGUGGCGUUGCCCAGACAACUAGGAUGUUGGCUUAGAAGCAGCCAUCAUUUAAAGAGUGCGUAAUAGCUCACUAGUCGAGUGACACUGCGCCGAAAAUGUACCGGGGCUAAACAUAUUACCGAAGCUGUGGAUUGUCCUUUGGACAAUGGUAGGAGAGCGUUCUAAGGGCGUUGAAGCAUGAUCGUAAGGACAUGUGGAGCGCUUAGAAGUGAGAAUGCCGGUGUGAGUAGCGAAAGACGGGUGAGAAUCCCGUCCACCGAUUGACUAAGGUUUCCAGAGGAAGGCUCGUCCGCUCUGGGUUAGUCGGGUCCUAAGCUGAGGCCGACAGGCGUAGGCGAUGGAUAACAGGUUGAUAUUCCUGUACCACCUAUAAUCGUUUUAAUCGAUGGGGGGACGCAGUAGGAUAGGCGAAGCGUGCGAUUGGAUUGCACGUCUAAGCAGUAAGGCUGAGUAUUAGGCAAAUCCGGUACUCGUUAAGGCUGAGC